This 465-nucleotide ribosomal RNA is filed under the name uncultured Klebsiella sp. Its description in RNAcentral is "bacterial SSU rRNA". It matches the Rfam family "Bacterial small subunit ribosomal RNA", at positions 338 to 795 of the family's 1533-position model. Lineage: Bacteria; Pseudomonadati; Pseudomonadota; Gammaproteobacteria; Enterobacterales; Enterobacteriaceae. The record is from RNAcentral.
CCUACGGGGGGCUGCAGUGGGGAAUAUUGCACAAUGGGCGCAAGCCUGAUGCAGCCAUGCCGCGUGUGUGAAGAAGGCCUUCGGGUUGUAAAGCACUUUCAGCGGGGAGGAAGGCGGUGAGGUUAAUAACCUCAUCGAUUGACGUUACCCGCAGAAGAAGCACCGGCUAACUCCGUGCCAGCAGCCGCGGUAAUACGGAGGGUGCAAGCGUUAAUCGGAAUUACUGGGCGUAAAGCGCACGCAGGCGGUCUGUCAAGUCGGAUGUGAAAUCUCCGGGCUCAACCUGGGAACUGCAUUCGAAACUGGCAGGCUAGAGUCUUGUAGAGGGGGGUAGAAUUCCAGGUGUAGCGGUGAAAUGCGUAGAGAUCUGGAGGAAUACCGGUGGCGAAGGCGGCCCCCUGGACAAAGACUGACGCUCAGGUGCGAAAGCGUGGGGAGCAAACAGGAUUAGAUACCCGGGUAGAC